UCUAUUAUUUCUUGAAAUCUAUUCUAUUUCUUGGAAGGUGGUGUAGUUAGAUUUGACUUGCGAAGUUUAAUUACAUUGUGCUUGUAUAGCUUACAAGGAGCAAUAUGUUACAAGGAGCCAAAGAGUCUAUUGCUUUAGUUGCAGAGUCUCUCUCAAGUCCAUAUCUAUUCUAACUUUUCCUGUAUCUCCCACACUUGCUUAAGAUUUGCAACUAACUGGUGAAUUUUAUUUUGUUCGAUUUCCUAUGUCUUCGAUCUCCAUCAUAUAUAUCUACAAUGAAUCAUCUUCCCAUGCUUUCCCAUCAGCAACUACUUUACUUGCUGACCAUGUCUUUUAUUUCAAGGUGUUAAAAACUUUAAUCAUAUGUUGACAUCUUGUGUUCACACCAUAUUUCUUCUUUUUGUACUAAAUAUGUUUUUCCCUUUGAGCCAUAUUAUGUUGUUGCCUUUUUCAGAAGGUCGAGCUAUUUAAUGUUUUAUAAGAUUGUCAUUCUUGUCUAGUAGUUUCCGUAUAUAUGAAUAGGAUGGUAUAUUGUCCUACUAUUUGGUUUGGAUUUGGAAUCAAUAACCACAUAAUAGUUUCAUUCUGAUGGUCACCAUUGGUCUUAGUUGCAUAUCUCUAAUUUAUUCUGCACUCAUUGGAACUAUGAGAUUAUUUGAUGGAAGAUUUGAGCUUACAAUAAUCUUUGAAUGUAAAGAGGGCUAUGUGGUGUUCAAAGAGAACGAUUAAGGAUCCAUAAAAUAUGUUGCAAGAGAGGUCCAAAUCUCGGUGAGUAUUUUCUUCCAAUACUUUGUUAUGCUACAGCCAACAAUACUUUGUUUAACUGGUUGCUUCGCUAUUAAUGUAUUGUUAAUAUAACUUGAAAGAAUAUGCAGAAAAUAGAUCUCUUGAUAUUGCUUGCUCUAUAUUGAACUUUUAAUUACUAGUGUUUUGUUUUUACUUCUUUUUAGUGCUUCUUCCCUCAGAACUUGAUUAUCAGUGUUAGAACCCCCACUCUUUCUUCUUAAUGCUGCGUAUGAUUCAUGGCAGGUAACUUUAUCAUAAAUCAUAUAAUAUGAUCUAUGAUAGUAUUGAUCAUUAAAUUAUUUGUACUAAACAAUCAUGUUUCCAAUUAUAAUCAGAUCCAAUCUAGUUUAGCUCCUCCAUCAACAGAUCCCCAUGGACAUUAGCAUGAUUGCAGAUUAAACCAUGCUAAAUGUACUAGGCAACAAAACCAAUUUUUGCCAUUCAUUGCAAGUGAAGAGAAAUCUUAAAUACAUACUAUUCAAUUGUUUAAGACAUUUUAAUGUCUCUUGAAUACAUGAUUCAGGAAUCACAUGCUGAAUUCUGUUAAAGAUUUCUCAAGAUCAAAAUAGAAUGGACUGUUUAUUAAUUCGUGUUUUGCGCACUGCCAAACCGAGAGGCAUGAUACAUGGUUUUCAGAUAAUUCUCCAGCUGUUGGGAACAAGGUAAUUGCUUUAGCUGUUGGAGACUGAUUUUUGGACUGAGAAGGUGUUACAGUCAUUGAUUGUCCUUAUCCUUGUGAUAAUACAUGUCACCAUAUGGUUUUCAGUUGAGCCAAAGUUCAUCCAUCAUCAUAAGUGGAGGAUUAGCUAUUUGAGAAUGUUGGGGGCAAAUCCUCUUUGUUUCUUAACACUUAACAUCAUAUGUAUUAUUGAGCCAUAGGAGGGAUUCAACUCAUAUAUAUAGUUAAGAUUGUUACUACUAGUAAUAUUUCAAAUUUAGCUUGAUUAUAAAGAUGUCUAUCCAAACAAUUAAGAAAAAAGGGGUAAGUUUAUUGAUGUAUUUAUGAGAAUAAUAUAAAUAUACGAGUCAUUUAUAUAGAAAUUUUAUAAUGAGAUAAUCUAGUACAAA
Cicer arietinum (chickpea) is the source of this 1854-nucleotide long non-coding RNA. RefSeq lists it as uncharacterized. NCBI's taxonomy places the organism in Eukaryota, Viridiplantae, Streptophyta, Magnoliopsida, Fabales, Fabaceae. The record is from RefSeq and is a predicted model, not a curated record.